This 468-nucleotide ribosomal RNA is filed under the name uncultured bacterium. Its description in RNAcentral is "partial 16S ribosomal RNA". It matches the Rfam family "Bacterial small subunit ribosomal RNA", at positions 28 to 507 of the family's 1533-position model. The record is from RNAcentral.
GAUGAACGCUGGCGGCGUGCUUAACACAUGCAAGUCGAACGGAAAGGCCCUGCGUUUGUGGGGUGCUCGAGUGGCGAACGGGUGAGUAACACGUGAGUAACCUGCCCUUGUCUUUGGGAUAACAUCAGGGAACAGGGGCUAAUACCGGAGAGGAGCUCCUGCUGCACGGUGGUGGUUGGAAAGUUUCGGCGGUUGGGGAUGGACUCGCGGCUUAUCAGCUUGUUGGUGAGGUAGUGGCGUACCAAGGCUUUGACGGGUAGCCGGCCUGAGAGCGUGACCGGCCACAAUAGGACUGAGGUACGGCCCAGUAUCCUACGGGAGGCAGCAGUGGGGAGUAUUACAGAAUGGGCGGAAGCCUGAGACAGCAACGCCGCGUGCGGGAUGACGGCCUUCGGGUUGUGAACCGAUUUCGCAUGUGACGAAGAGUGAGUGACGGUAAUGGGUAAAAAAGCACCGGCUAACUACGUG